RNAcentral lists this ribosomal RNA (496 nucleotides) under uncultured bacterium. RNAcentral describes it as "bacterial SSU rRNA". It matches the Rfam family "Bacterial small subunit ribosomal RNA", at positions 28 to 518 of the family's 1533-position model. The record is from RNAcentral.
GAUGAACGCUAGCGACAGGCCUAACACAUGCAAGUCGAGGGGCAGCACAAGGAGCAAUCUGAGGUGGCGACCGGCGCACGGGUGAGUAACACGUAUGCAACCUACCUGUAAGAGGGGAAUAACCCGUUGAAAAACGGACUAAUACCGCAUAACACUGUAGAACCGCAUGGUUUGACAGUUAAACAUUUAUGGCUUACAGAUGGGCAUGCGCAUGAUUAGCUAGUUGGUGAGGUAACGGCUCACCAAGGCAACGAUCAUUAGGGGUUCUGAGAGGAAGGUCCCCCACACUGGUACUGAGACACGGACCAGACUCCUACGGGAGGCAGCAGUGAGGAAUAUUGGUCAAUGGGCGAGAGCCUGAACCAGCCAAGUCGCGUGAAGGAUGAAGGUUUUAUGAAUUGUAAACUUCUUUUGCAGGGGAAUAAAGUGUCCGACGUGUCGGAUUUUGUAUGUACUCUGCGAAUAAGGAUCGGCUAACUCCGUGCCAGCAGCCGAC